This 414-nucleotide long non-coding RNA is filed under the name Monodelphis domestica (gray short-tailed opossum). RNAcentral's name for it is "lncRNA (ENSMODG00000039117.1)". Lineage: Eukaryota; Metazoa; Chordata; Mammalia; Didelphimorphia; Didelphidae. The record is from RNAcentral.
GUAAAGAACUGGAAUUUGAAGCAAAGCUGAGAGAGCGUGUUGAUUUCAACUGCUGACAGUUAUAACAAUUUUUUAUGUCAAUUACUCUCUCUGGCAGUUGGGAGUUGGUCUCUGGCAGUUGGCAGAGAAGCAGUCUCAGACUCUCUCAGGGCUGGUGGAGGCCCUAAGCACUCCACAGUGCUUUGCUGCAUCGCCCUCUCAGCUGUUGAACCUUCUUGUUGGCUUCUUCCGCCUGUUCCGCCGAAGCAGUCUUCACAAGCUGGGAUAAAAAUCUUAUCAGUGAGCUCUGGAUGUGUUCAAAGACAUUGACUUCAAAUCAAGCAGAAAUGAUUUCCCUAAAAAUCUAUGAAUUCCUCUAAUUAAGAAAUUAGAACAUUCCUUGCAAUAGGAAAUUAAUCAAUUCUUGAAUAGAGA